Non-coding RNA from Hypoxylon sp. FL1150, 87 nucleotides. The record is from the annotation of a GenBank genome assembly. NCBI's taxonomy places the organism in Eukaryota, Fungi, Ascomycota, Sordariomycetes, Xylariales, Hypoxylaceae.
GGGCUCAUGGCCUAAUGGUAAGGCGUUAGAUUUCGGCUCUACAUAGACCAUCUCUAAAGAUUGCAGGUUCGAUCCCUGCUGAGCUCG